AGUCGAGCGGCAGCGGGUCCUUCGGGAUGCCGGCGAGCGGCGGACGGGUGAGUAAUGCCUAGGAAUCUGCCUGGUAGUGGGGGAUAACUCGGGGAAACUCGAGCUAAUACCGCAUACGUCCUACGGGAGAAAGCGGGGGAUCUUCGGACCUCGCGCUACCAGAUGAGCCUAGGUCGGAUUAGCUAGUUGGUGAGGUAAAGGCUCACCAAGGCGACGAUCCGUAGCUGGUCUGAGAGGAUGAUCAGCCACACUGGAACUGAGACACGGUCCAGACUCCUACGGGAGGCAGCAGUGGGGAAUAUUGGACAAUGGGCGAAAGCCUGAUCCAGCCAUGCCGCGUGUGUGAAGAAGGUCUUCGGAUUGUAAAGCACUUUAAGUUGGGAGGAAGGGCAGUAAGCUAAUACCUUGCUGUUUUGACGUUACCGACAGAAUAAGCACCGGCUAACUUCGUGCCAGCAGCCGCGGUAAUACGAAGGGUGCAAGCGUUAAUCGGAAUUACUGGGCGUAAAGCGCGCGUAGGUGGUUUGAUAAGUUGGAUGUGAAAGCCCCGGGCUCAACCUGGGAAUUGCAUCCAAAACUGUCUGACUAGAGUAUGGCAGAGGGUGGUGGAAUUUCCUGUGUAGCGGUGA
RNAcentral lists this ribosomal RNA (629 nucleotides) under Pseudomonas sp. ILI-S4-I8. RNAcentral describes it as "bacterial SSU rRNA". It matches the Rfam family "Bacterial small subunit ribosomal RNA", at positions 60 to 684 of the family's 1533-position model. The record is from RNAcentral. Lineage: Bacteria; Pseudomonadati; Pseudomonadota; Gammaproteobacteria; Pseudomonadales; Pseudomonadaceae.